CCUUAAGGAUCGUCGAAGACUACGACGUUGAUAGGCUUCAGGUGUAAGUGCGGUAACGUAUUCAGCCGAGAAGUACUAAUCAUCCGUUUGGCUUGAUUCCUAU
RNAcentral lists this ribosomal RNA (103 nucleotides) under Verrucomicrobiaceae bacterium. Its description in RNAcentral is "partial 23S ribosomal RNA". It matches the Rfam family "Bacterial large subunit ribosomal RNA", at positions 2826 to 2925 of the family's 2925-position model. The record is from RNAcentral. Lineage: Bacteria; Pseudomonadati; Verrucomicrobiota; Verrucomicrobiia; Verrucomicrobiales; Verrucomicrobiaceae.